CCACUGAUAUAGAAGGUGAAUACUACAAUCAAGCAAGUGGUUUCCCCAGGGCCAGCCUCAUCCACAGCAUUGUGAAUGUACAGCCCCAUGUGAUUUACCCAAAUGUGGGAAACUCUACUGCAUAAUUUGAAGUAGUAUGGGACUGCAUUUAUACUUUUUCCUG
This is a small nuclear RNA of Mesocricetus auratus (golden hamster), 163 nucleotides long. Its record names the gene U1. It matches the Rfam family "U1 spliceosomal RNA". From Rfam's summary of the family: U1 is a small nuclear RNA (snRNA) component of the spliceosome (involved in pre-mRNA splicing). Its 5' end forms complementary base pairs with the 5' splice junction, thus defining the 5' donor site of an intron. There are significant differences in sequence and secondary structure between metazoan and yeast U1 snRNAs, the latter being much longer (568 nucleotides as compared to 164 nucleotides in human). NCBI's taxonomy places the organism in Eukaryota, Metazoa, Chordata, Mammalia, Rodentia, Cricetidae. The record is from Ensembl.